Molecule: long non-coding RNA, 1227 nt
Filed under: Pongo abelii (Sumatran orangutan)
Lineage: Eukaryota; Metazoa; Chordata; Mammalia; Primates; Hominidae
Description: lincRNA
Source: RNAcentral
UGUGUCUUCAUGACUGUCAAUGACUCUACGAUGGUGUCACUAGGAGUCUGGCCCAUGUCCAUGGGAAGCCCUCCUGACGGCAAGUAGCACCUAAGUGGGUAGAGGGCCAGGCUGGGUGGGCAUCCUCCUUUCCUUCUGAAGAGCUAUGAGCAUCACUGAGGACCAGAAGCAGAGCUUGAGCCAUACCACCUCCAGCAAGCCCUCUUAGCUAUGCAAGGAGAGAAUCUCUCCGGACCCUUGGAUUUCAGCUGCUUCUGGCAUCCAUAGGAGCACCUGACAGCUGGACGGUUUGGAACGUUGGGAUCCUUGAAGGACCCCGUGGCCUAGCAGAUGAGCACCCUGCCUGCGGCUGCAGGGCAAUGUCACAGAGAACCCCUAGGGGGCAGCACUCAGGCACAGGUCUCAGUGAGAUUCUCAGCGGCAGGGCUGUGCAGGCAUCCAGGGGACACCAUCUCCUGUUUCUCACAUAAAGAUUACUGCACAUGGAAAGAUAAGGAACAUUUUCCUAACAGUAAGAAGGUUUUGAAUCCAAGAAAGCAACAAACCAGAGCAGACUCAUUUGAAACAUGAACAGAGUGAUGUGGCCAAAGGAAUCCAAGCCAGGUUUCACCAGGUUCCUAUUGUGAACACACUGGAUGUUUAUAUGAGAAUCCCAGUGUGUAGCAAUUAUAACUAGAUAAUAAUUAUGCUUAAGAUUUGGUCCUCUUUCCAUAUAUGGAUUCAGUCCUUCUCUGUCAUUUUGUCAUUUUCAUGGAAUCUGGAGUUAUGGAACCAUCCAAUGUUUAUUACAGAGAAUGACCAUCCAUAAGCCUCUGCAUGCUUAUGGAAGCAACAGUUCUGGGGCCGCUGGCUGAAUAUUCCUUCCAGGUGUUUAUUUCUGAGUCUACAUCAUGCCCCUCACUCAUCAAUUUAACUCUAUCCAGAGAAUUCUCUAUGGUCUUCAUCAGAUUAGGAAGUAAAUCAUCAGUCACUUCAAAUAUUUCAAGCUUGGUUUUCUCUGACAUAAGUCAGUUCUCCUGACUACAAUUCCUGGAAAAUAUUGUAGAACCCAGCAGCACUGCAGUAUUUCAACCUUCAUUUGAGUUGCCUGUGACCCAGAUGUGAGCUAGUGCUUCCACGGUUUCAGAUGUCUGGGUGAAUCCACCAGUUCUACACCUGUGAACAUCCCUGCCCUUGAUUCUUUCUAAUUGUCAGGAAACUUGCACUCAUAAUCCCUCCUGCCUCUGG